UGGGGAAUAUUGCACAAUGGGCGAAAGCCUGAUGCAGCAACGCCGCGUGAGUGAUGAAGGCCUUCGGGUCGUAAAACUCUGUCCUCAAGGAAGAUAAUGACGGUACUUGAGGAGGAGGCCCCGGCUAACUACGUGCCAGCAGCCGCGGUAAUACGUAGGGGGCUAGCGUUAUCCGGAUUUACUGGGCGUAAAGGGUGCGUAGGUGGUUUCUUAAGUCAGGAGUGAAAGGCUACGGCUCAACCGUAGUAAGCUCUGGAAACUGGGGAACUUGAGUGCAGGAGAGGAAAGUGGAAUUCCUAGUGUAGCGGUGAAAUGCGUAGAUAUUAGGAGGAACACCAGUAGCGAAGGCGGCUUUCUGGACUGUAACUGACACUGAGGCACGAAAGCGUGGGGAGCAAACA
RNAcentral lists this ribosomal RNA (401 nucleotides) under uncultured bacterium. RNAcentral's name for it is "bacterial SSU rRNA". It matches the Rfam family "Bacterial small subunit ribosomal RNA", at positions 355 to 774 of the family's 1533-position model. The record is from RNAcentral.